AACUUUUGACAACGGAUCUCUUGGUUCUGGCAUCGAUGAAGAACGCAGCGAAGUGCGAGAGGUAAUGUGAAUUGCAGAAUUCAGUGAAUCAUCGAAUCUUUGAACGCACAUUGCACUCCUUGGUGUUCCGAGGAGUAUGCCUGUUUCAGUAUCAUGAGCACUCUCACAACUAACCUUUGCUGGUAAAGUUGUGGAAUUGGGAUGCGCCAAUUGUUACUGAUUGGCCCUCCUAAAAUGUAGCUCUUGACUGUGGACUGCUACAGUAGUUUGGCCUAAUAGUUUUGGCACUUGUUUGUCAAAUCUUUGGCUACCUUUACUUUGGUCCAUGCAGUCUUGAUAUACAGAAAACUCUAAUACAUCUUUGAUCUGAAAUCAGGUAGGGCUACCCGCUGAACUUAAGCAUAUCAAUAAGCGGAGGCG
This 420-nucleotide unclassified non-coding RNA is filed under the name uncultured Mucorales. Its description in RNAcentral is "sequence contains ITS2". The stretch from base 1 to 154 matches the Rfam family "5.8S ribosomal RNA". Lineage: Eukaryota; Fungi; Mucoromycota; Mucoromycetes; Mucorales. The record is from RNAcentral.